RNAcentral lists this ribosomal RNA (1415 nucleotides) under uncultured Bacilli bacterium. RNAcentral's name for it is "16S ribosomal RNA". It matches the Rfam family "Bacterial small subunit ribosomal RNA", at positions 29 to 1399 of the family's 1533-position model. Lineage: Bacteria; Bacillati; Bacillota; Bacilli. The record is from RNAcentral.
ACGAACGCUGGCGGCGUGCCUAAUACAUGCGAGUCGAACGAGCUCUCCUAAAUUGAUUUUAUGCUUGCAUAAAUGAUUUUUAGAUUCGGAGCGAGUGGCGAACUGGUGAGUAACACGUGGGUAACCUGCCCCGAAGCGGGGGAUAACAUUUGGAAACAAAUGCUAAUACCGCAUAAUUAGUUGGAACCGCAUGGUUCCAACUUGAAAGAUGGCUCUGCUAUCACUUUGGGAUGGACCCGCGCCGUAUUAGUUAGUUGGUGAGAUAAAAGCCCACCAAGACGAUGAUACGUAGCCGACCUGAGAGGGUAAUCGGCCACAUUGGGACUGAGACACGGCCCAGACUCCUACGGGAGGCAGCAGUAGGGAAUCUUCCACAAUGGACGAAAGUCUGAUGGAGCAACGCCGCGUGAGUGAUGAAGGUUUUCGGAUCGUAAAACUCUGUUGUUAAAGAAGAACAAGUGUUAGAGUAACUGUUAACACUUUGACGGUAUUUAACCAGAAAGCCACGGCUAACUACGUGCCAGCAGCCGCGGUAAUACGUAGGUGGCAAGCGUUGUCCGGAUUUAUUGGGCGUAAAGCGAGCGCAGGCGGUUUUGUAAGUCUGCUGUGAAAGCCCUCAGCUCAACUGAGGAAGUGCAGUGGAAACUACAAAACUUGAGUACAGAAGAGGAAAGUGGAACUCCAUGUGUAGCGGUGAAAUGCGUAGAUAUAUGGGAAGAACACCAGUGGCGAAGGCGGCUUUCUGGUCUGUUACUGACGCUGAGGCUCGAAAGCAUGGGUAGCGAAACAGGAUUAGAUACCCCUGGUAGUCCAUGCCGUAAACGAUGAAUACUAGGUGUUGGAGGGUUUCCGCCCCUUCAGUGCCGCAGCUAACGCAUUAAGUAUUCCGCCUGGGGAGUACGACCGCAAGGUUGAAACUCAAAGGAAUUGACGGGGGCCCGCACAAGUGGUGGAGCAUGUGGUUUAAUUCGAUGCUACGCGAAGAACCUUACCAGCUCUUGACAUCUUCUGCCAACCCAAGAGAUUGGGCGUUCCCUUCGGGGACAGAAUGACAGGUGGUGCAUGGUUGUCGUCAGCUCGUGUCGUGAGAUGUUGGGUUAAGUCCCGCAACGAGCGCAACCCUUAUUAUUAGUUGCCAGCAUUUAGUUGGGCACUCUAGUGAGACUGCCGGUGAUAAACCGGAGGAAGGUGGGGACGACGUCAAAUCAUCAUGCCCCUUAUGAGCUGGGCUACACACGUGCUACAAUGGAUGGUACAACGAGUCGCGAAACCGCGAGGUCAAGCUAAUCUCUUAAAGCCAUUCUCAGUUCGGAUUGCAGGCUGCAACUCGCCUGCAUGAAGUUGGAAUCACUAGUAAUCGUGGAUCAGCAUGCCACGGUGAAUACGUUCCCGGGCCUUGUACACACCGCCCGUCA